AUACGAAGGGGGCUAGCGUUGUUCGGAAUUACUGGGCGUAAAGCGCGCGUAGGCGGACUGAUCAGUUGGGGGUGAAAUCCCAGGGCUUAACCCUGGAACUGCCUCCAAUACUGUCAGUCUUGAGUUCGGGAGAGGUGAGUGGAAUUCCUAGUGUAGAGGUGGAAUGCGUAGAUAUUAGGAAGAACACCAGUGGCGAAGGCGGCUCACUGGCCCGAUACUGACGCUGAGGCGCGAAAGCGUGGGGAGCAAACAGGAUUAGAAACCCUAGUAGUCC
This 274-nucleotide ribosomal RNA is filed under the name uncultured bacterium. RNAcentral describes it as "partial 16S ribosomal RNA". It matches the Rfam family "Bacterial small subunit ribosomal RNA", at positions 523 to 796 of the family's 1533-position model. The record is from RNAcentral.